Molecule: ribosomal RNA, 480 nt
Filed under: uncultured bacterium
Lineage: Bacteria
Description: SSU rRNA
Rfam family: Bacterial small subunit ribosomal RNA
Source: RNAcentral
AGGAUGAACGCUGGCGGCGUGCUUAGUACAUGCAAGUCGAGCGAGGACCACUUGGUGGCAACACCGGGUGGCUCCUAGCGGCGAACGGGUGAGUAACACGUGGGCAACCUACCCCCGACUCUGGGAUAAGCCCGGGAAACUGGGUCUAAUACCGGAUACGAACCUCCUCCGCAUGGUGGAGGUUGGAAAGGGUCUCCGGUUGGGGAUGGGCCCGCGGCCUAUCAGCUUGUUGGCGGGUGACGGCCCACCAAGGCGACGACGGGUAGCCGGCCUGAGAGGGUGAACGGCCACACUGGGACUGAGACACGGCCCAGACUCCUACGGGAGGCAGCAGUAGGGAAUCUUGGACAAUGGGCGAAAGCCUGAUCCAGCAAUGCCGCGUGAGUGAUGAAGGCCUUAGGGUUGUAAAGCUCUUUUACCCGGGAUGAUAAUGACAGUACCGGGAGAAUAAGCUCCGGCUAACUCCGUGCCAGCAGCCGC